UUGGAGGGCAAGUCUGGUGCCAGCAGCCGCGGUAAUUCCAGCUCCAAUAGCGUAUAUUAAAGUUGUUGCAGUUAAAAAGCUCGUAGUUGAAUUUCGGGGUUCUUCCGUUGGUCAGGCUAACAAGUCUGUACUAGCGUGUAGAAUCUCUACCUUCUGGGGAACCAUCAUGUUAUUAAUUUAGCGUGGUGGGAAACCAGGACCUUUACCUUGAAAAAAUUAGAGUGUUCAAAGCAGGCUUACGUCUGAAUACAUUAGCAUGGAAUAAUAAAAUAGGACGGUGGUCCUGUUUUGUUGGUUUCUGAAUCACCGUAAUGAUUAAUAGGGAUAGUUGGGGGCAUUAGUAUUCAAUUGUCAGAGGUGAAAUUCUUGGAUUUAUUGAAGACUAACUUCUGCGAAAGCAUUUGCCAAGGAUGUUUUCAUUAAUCAAGAACGAAAGUUAGGGGAUCGAAGACGAUCAGAUACCGUCGU
Molecule: ribosomal RNA, 468 nt
Filed under: uncultured Scutellospora
Lineage: Eukaryota; Fungi; Glomeromycota; Glomeromycetes; Diversisporales; Gigasporaceae
Description: SSU rRNA
Rfam family: Eukaryotic small subunit ribosomal RNA
Source: RNAcentral